GCCUGGGUGGCUCAAUGGUUGAGCGUCUGCCUUCAGUCCAGAGCGUGAUCCUGAGGUCUUGGGAUUGAGUCCCACAUCGGGCU
Molecule: transfer RNA, 83 nt
Filed under: Canis lupus familiaris (dog)
Lineage: Eukaryota; Metazoa; Chordata; Mammalia; Carnivora; Canidae
Also listed under: 1 other name
Rfam family: tRNA
About the family: Transfer RNA (tRNA) molecules are approximately 80 nucleotides in length.
Source: Rfam by way of RNAcentral